ACCUUAUUAAUUUUAAUGAACUCUUAGAGGGCGACCCCAGUCGUGGGUUCGGCAGGAUGAAACACUACCCAUUUACCAGUUUACAGACAUUUAGGUCGUUUCGAGUUAUGAAUAAUGCUGUGAACAUUCAUGUGCAAGUCUUUAUGUGGACGUAUGUUUUAAUUUGUCUUGGGUAGAUACCUAGGAAUGAAAGUGAUGGGUCGUAGGGUAGUUCUAUGUAUAACUUUUUGAGAAACGGAAACUUUUUCCAAAGUGGCUGCAUCAUUUUUCAUUCCCACCAGCCAUGUAUGAGGGUUUCCAGUUCUCUGACUUUUUUUUUUUUAAUAUUCUAGAAAUGCACUGUAAUUUGAGAUUGAUAUUUUUUUCUUAGCAUUUUGCUAGCAACAAGCUACCAUCUUGGAGAUCAUUAAUAAUUAGUCUUUAAUUAUUAGGAAUGGUUCCUGAGUAAAAUGAAAAUAUGUCAGUCUGCCAUAAAUGAAAUUCAUUAUUUUAGAAUUUCAAACUUUCUUCUUAAAUGAAGUGUGGUAGGAAUCCUAUUUUAACAACUGUAAGCUAAAGAAUUAGCUGUGAAUCUUGCCCAGUUUCAAUAAUAAAUCAGUGAAUUCCAAUGGUUGCACAAAAUUUAUCUUAUCAGGCCAAUAUAUUUACUAUUAAUUAAAUGUAUAUUGAGUAUGUAUAUUUAGCAUGUUAAGUGAGUUAGAUUCUUUUGACAUAUAUUCUAUACUGCUAAAAUAAAAUUGACUCAUAUAGGACAGAAUGGAAUUACAUUUUGUGAAGUUAUAAAAUCUGAGCUAUGAUUCAGAGUGUGGGAGGAAGUACUGACGUUAUGAAGCUCAUAAGUACCUAGUAGUACUAAGCUCCAGGUUCCAAAAGUGGCAUAUUGUCACUAUAGCAACCACCAUGCUUAUUUGGAUUUGAAACCCAGGCAACGAAUGGUGGAUAGGACUAUAAUAUUAAGAUUGCAUUUCUCUGGAAUGACCACAGCAAUAUUUCCAGCCCUUGAUGAUCUUCUAGAACUUUGCCACUUCCCUGCAUCAAGAGAAAAUCUUGGAAGAAGAACACUUCUUUGAUGACGUUGUCAGAGAGAAAUGGAUGUUCUCCUAAAUGGGAAGCCUUAAUUCUGUGUGUAAUUUAUAAAGCCAUGGAGAAGAGGAGACAGAGUGUGCAAGGGAAUGAAGAAAAGGAACAAGACUAUUUUCAAAUCACCCAUGGCACUACUAGAAAUGUAUUUCAGCAAAAGGACUGGCUGAUUUUAUGAUUCCUGUGUCCACCACAGCCCUCUAAUUUUUACAUAGGUACCCCACAUCUCUCUAGAUUUCAGGAAGACUAUUAUCCUUCGACUUUAGCUUUCUGAUGGGUUCACAAAAAGCCAUUAGUGUGCUGUUGGUCCAGCUUUUUUCUGUUGCAAAUAUGAGAGCUACAGUUCUGAGAUGAAACCACAGGAUGUUCUUUCUCUAUGUAAGGAGAACAGUACCUUUUCUGACUACUCUGAAAUGAAUCAAGAACAAAUCUGUGUGGAAUUUUGGACCAUAAUCAGGAACAAGAAUCUCGGGAAUCCUUGGAAAUAAAGUAAUUUUCUUACAAUUUAAACUUACUUUCUGUCAGAGGACAGCUAUUCAUGUAUUUCUGGACUAUUUCAAUUCAUUGAGCUUUACCUGCUCAGGAUAAAGAGGUCCUUUGAUAAAAUCAAUGAAGCCAAGCAGAACACUGCAGUUUCUGAGUUCAGUACCAGUUAAGUAUUUCCCUAUUAUAAGGGAUCCCUAUUGUUGGAAAAUAGCUUUUCUAUUCACAGAAAUGAUGAGAAAAUGACAUCUUGCUUUUUGCAGUAAUAUGAAUACUUACUUUUGAGAUCUAGUAAAUUAACAUUGCUGACUCUUCAGACUGGCCCCUUGAAUUAGGGUCAAAUCAAGGAAAUGAAAUGCAUAUAUGCACAUUCUGAGAGUAAACAGACAAGUAGUCAUGCCAUUGCUCUCUUCUCUGUGCACAGCACAGGCUUAGGGCUUUGCAUAAAUCAAAUCAAAAUAUUUGUGUUUUUGCAUGGAUUUUAACAUUUGUGUUUUAAAUCUAUUUUCUGAGUAGAUUUUAUGAACCUAAUGAAAAAAUUGAAAGCAAUUCCUCCAGCAUAACUUCUGAGUGAUACUACUGUACAGGUAACCCUGUAUGAAAGGGAAAGAGUUUGAUACAAUGGACACUGGGAGGCUUUACCUGGAAGUGCCCAAAAGAUACCAUUAGUUGGUAAUUUGUAACUGGCUCAUAUGUUAAACAUUGUAGGGUUGAGAGUCUAGAUGACAUGUGAACAACAAAAUCUCCAUUUUUAGUGCUGAUACUUUUAUGUCAUUCAGACAAGAGCUGGUAGGUUUAGACAUUUAUCCUGAAAUAAUGAGAAGUUUUUCAUUUCUGAAUUAGUUAGAAAGUUGGCACUAAAACUGCCCCAAGGCACGGUCUGUGAAUCUAAGUGUAUCCACACCAAGCCAUCUUUCAUUUAAGUCUGUUUAAUAAAUCAUCUUCUUAACUGGUGCUGGGGGCAUAAAGUUCAUGCCUCUGGCACAACAGAAAAGAAGAAAAAGAUCAGGAGCAUAGAAGUUUUAAGAAAUGUAAUAUUUUCAGCUUGGGUUUUCUGACAUACAAGGAAAAAUGCUAUUUAAAAAUUAUUCCUACUUGGAUAAAAGCAGCUGCUCCUAGUUCUAUAUAAUAAAAUUUGGAAAGCUGAAGAGAUGGGCCAGCUUUUCUCCAGGGUUCAGUGGGCUUCAUGGGGCAAGCAUUAGACUAGACUAGAGCAACACUGCUUCAUGAAGGCAGAGCUAAGUGACCAUUGAUCAUUGAAUGAAUUAAUAAAAUAAUGAAAAUUUCAGUUCCUUUUGACUCAGUUCUCAGCUAAGUUAUUUUGCUAUGUAUAAGGAAGUAGUUUUUGAUAUCAUUGUUAGAGAGAUGGGGCAUGGAAUUUUUUCCCCAUCAAGCUUAUGGAUUAUUUUUUGCCAACAAUUUCAUAUGAACUUGAUGAAAACUUUAUAUUUGGUCACUAAACAGGUUUAUAAGCCACUCAUAGAAGGAAUGUGAUUUAUUUUGGGGGCAAAAUUUUGGUAGCUUCACGUAUUUAUUCGGUAAGUACGUGUUUAUUGGAUACCUACUCUGCACCAGGCAGUGGCUAGUACCCUAGACACUGACAAUACAAAAGUGAAUAGACACACACAUAUGUCCCUCUGCUCUUGGGUAUUCAGACAUGUAAACAGUUAAAACUCAAUGUAGAGUAAAUGCUAUAAUGGACUACAAACAAUGCGUCACAGAAGUAUGUAAGAUAAGGAUCAAACCCAAACUUGAGGGAUUAGGAAAAGCUUUCUAGAGGAAAUUACAUCUCAGCUGAAACCUUAAUGCUAAAUAGGAGGGAGCUAGAAGAAGGAGGCAGAAAGAGUGUUUGAGGCAGGAGAGCCUGGUGAGACUUGGGAUGAAAACACUUCAUAAGCAGAGUAUGGAGUGGGGAGAGCGGAAGCUGCCAUGAUGAGCAGAGGCCAAGUUCAGAAGGGCCUUGAAAGCCAUGCCAAUGAGUUUAGGAUUUGUCCUUAGAGCUUGAUUGAAAUAGUAAUCUAGUAAGUGAAUAAUAAGGCCUAGGGUUAUAGGAAGUCAUUGAUAACUUUUUAAAAAUGGAGCUAUUUAGUCAGACAUGUUUUAGAAUACUUUCUCUGGUUGUAGUAUGGAGAGCAGGUGGAGAGGACUCAAGACUAGAGACAGGCAGAUUUUGGCAGCUGAGUGAGAGGCAACCAUACCCUGCAGCAGAGAGAUAGCCAUGGGGAUAGAGGGAUGUGGGCUGACUCAGGAGAUCAUUAUGAGAAAAAAUGUCCAGAUCUUGGUGUUUAGUUGGAUAUGAAGGGCAUGAGAGAACAAGAAGUUCAGGGUGACUGCCAGGUUUCUGUCUUGUCUUAAUGAAUAGAAAUGGUGCCACUCACUGAGGAAGGAGGACUAGGAUGAGGUAGAUAUGUAAGUUCAAUUUUAGGCAUGUUAAGUUUUAGGUACCUGUGGGAUAAUCAAAAAAGCUUAGAAAGCUGUAGUGUAGAAAUUUCUAAAUCUCAACUUCCUCAUAUUCAUUCUUCAAGCUGACCUGCAUACAAACUCUGAUGUCUACCAAUUAGUCUUUCCUUUUUCACCUUUCACAUUGCCCUUCUCCACUUUACAAAAGAAAAGUGUACUUCCCCCAUCCUAAGUUGUAUUUUGAUGCAUUGCUCCAGGGUGUAAAAACACUUGGGGCAUCAAAAAGAGGGACAAAUCUAGAAUACCACUUUCUUGAGGGAAAGUCUCUUGAAAGUAAAAUAAAAAAAAACUUCAGAGAGAAAUAUUUGAGGGGAUCUUGUUUUAUCCAGGAGACAAACUCAAGAUAAGAAUUUGUCUAUCCAUCCAUGUCUUGUUUUAUUCAUCUAUCCACCAGCUAUCUACCCAACAAUCAACCAUCCAUUUAAAAAUCAAUUAACCUAUCUUAGAAUACAGAAGUAUUCCACAGAUGCAUGACUGUAUGAAUUUUAAAAUAAAAUUGUACUGGUUCUGAUGAAAAGUAACCCUGAUUUGGCUGAUUAGUUUCACAAUGUGGCCUGAUUAUCUGAAAGACGUGUUCUAUAAAUAGAAUGAGCUAAAUCUACAACUCCAAGACUUGGAUAAAAAUAUAUUUAAUGUACAUAUAUAAUAUAAGCCAUAAAUACAUCCUUUGAAACUAUUUCACUUUAUGUGUUAAAAAUUUUUAGAUUUUGAUUUCAAAAUAUGUGAGAAAUAGUUUUCCAAAAUCUUUUGAGAGCAUGAGAACAAAAAUGUUUGGACAAGUGCUUAGUCCAUUGCUUCAGUUACCUCCCUAUAAGUGUCCUAUUUACCUUCUCUCAUUAUAUUCCACUCAUAACCAGCCAGAAAAUACCUACCGUGCCUGCUAUUUCCUUGGCUAAGCUGAAGUCUUGAGCAUGGCUGGAGAAAAAAAAACCUCAUAUAAUCAUAUUGGUGCCACUAUGAUGUCAUUGCAUUCAACUUGUACUGGGGUCCUCAAUGCUAUUUUGCAAUUCAUGUGUGUUUUUUAGCUUUCUUCUAUUUCCCACAGCUUCCAUCUGAAACAUUUCACAAGCUCCUCAGACUUACAACUCCCACCACCUCCCACCGUAACUUCAGCCAGCCAACAUGCUGUCUGUUGCCAGCCCCGCCCCCACCCUGAAAUAUCUGUUCUUGGGAUUCUAUCCCCUCUUGCCUCCUCAGGAAUCUUUUUUCUUUUAAUUAUUCACCCCCACCUCCAUCCCUCUUACUUGAUCUUCAAACUGUUCUUCCCAUCUGCAUUUAAAUAUACUCUGGUCUCACCCAUUAAAACAAACAACAUCAAAAAACCCAGAAAACACACAAAAUAUAUACCUCUCCUUGGAUCUCUUAUCUAUCUGGCACCAUCUCAUUGCACUGCUCUCCCCACAUUCCAACUUCCCUAAAGUGGUGUGUACGUUCUGGCCCUCUUCCCCUUGCUCUUAAUGAUGCGGUUUCUGCCUUCACCACCCCAUGAAUGCUGCUCUCUCCAAGGUUACUGACCUAUUCCUUACUGCUAAGUCCCUUCAACUUAUGGCAGUGCAGCCUCUUCUGAGCAUUCCCUUCUCAAACAUUUUCUUCCCUCAGCUUCCUUGGCACCACCCACUUUCCUAUUUUUAAAAUUUCUUCAAAGCACUUUAUUAUGUUUACAGAUAAUGUAUACAUAUAUACAUAUAUGUGUAUAUAUGUAUACAUAUACAUACAUACCAAUAUGAGGAUGAAACUGGUUCCAAGAGCAUUUAAGGAACAAUGAUAUAUAUAGUACAGCAGGAAAGACAUUAAAAGGAUAUUAGAAUAGGAUAGCUGGGUUGGAUACAACAUUGGUUAGUGGCCCACGGGACAACAGAACAGCCAUCUUUAAGGUUAUCUUUUUUACUUAACAAAAAUCUACAAUUUAACAUAUAAUUCCAUAGUGUCUAGUCUCUAAUCAAAUAGGAAAUAGCAAAGUCAAACAUGAGUAAUCAGAUAAAUUGUCAUGAAGUGGACUAUUGAAAUAAUAUACCAGUAGACAUCAAAAGGGCUUGCUCUACCCUUUUAUCCUUAUUUUCAAGUUUUAUACUUUUUUUUUUAACACUGGCAUUACCUAGUUACUGUACUUAGCAUAGGAUAAAUUAUGUUUCAUGCUUUUUGCAGAUUCUAAGGCUUUCUAAAAUUUGUUGAUUUACAUGUGUGUUAUUAUAUACUCAAUUAGCGCUCCUAAAGUUAGACAGGGUUUCAGUAAUGCCAAUAUUCUAAAAGCCAAUAACCUAAAAAUGCAUAGGUUAAGAAAGACAAAGGAACAUUUUUUGCUAAGGAAAGAAAUCAGGAAUGGGGAAAAAACAGGAGCAUAUUGUGAUACUUUUGCGGCAGUCUUAUUAAUCUCAGAAACGACUUCCCUAUAACCAAUUACCUGUACUGUGAAUUCUGUAAUGCACCACAUGAAAUAAUAGUAAACACUUAUAUUGUCAAUUUUGUAAGAUAUUUUCUCAGAAAUAGCCAUGCUUAUUAUCUCAACAACCUUGUAGUUGGAGCAGACAUAUUAUGCCUCUCAUUUUAAGAAUAGAGAGUGUGAAUUAGGAAGUGCUUCAGCAACAGGGCCAAGACUGUAAAUCAAAGGUGCUGUCUUGACUCUAAUCUAUUGGAUCUGACAGGCUGGAGAUGGUUAUAAAAGCAGCCCCCAGUUUCCAGACAAAUUAUGUUCCUAAGGAUCAUUUGUAGGUCAGUUGUUUUGAACUCGACACAUUUUUCUAUAGAAAUUGUGUGAUGAAUGAAGGUUAUGUCUCCAGUUCAGUCUGCCAAAGCCUUUAACCCACAAUGUGUCCAUACUUCAGUGAUACAGAGCCUCCUCAUCAUUUGUUUCUAUUAGUUCAGGGCUUUCAUUUGGGAUGUAGGGAGCACAUUUUCCUGUGCUCUACCCGUGUCCACUUCAGCACCAGAGCUAAGGGGUGUGAACUUUUCCAGCUUCAUACAGCGAAUGGUAGCUCUGGGUGUGGUUGAGUAGACAGAGGCUCUUACCAGGGGUGCCCAAGGGCACUCAAUUCAGAAUCACUGGAGAGAGCCCUGACACAGGUGUCUGAGCAGGACAGAGACUGGAACUUUAGGGGGAUGAGUUUGAGGAGGGGAUGCCGAAGACUGGGUCGCAGGUAGUGUUGACAAUAGUAGACAGUUCUAAAAGUGGUAGACCUCAGGAGUGGGAGGGUAGUGCCUAUCUCUUAGGUUGUAGAAUAGCUUGUUAAAUGAAACCCAAAGAACAGGUAUGCAGGUACAGGGUGAGAAAGAACAAAGUUGCUUUUUGCUAUCUUCCUGAGUUCAGCUCAUUCAAUAAACUCAUUGCAUUUGUUUAAAUCUUCUCGAUGAUUUUAUAAAAUGUAUUGUCACUGCAAUGGAAAAUUAAACAAUAUUGAAAAGUACAAAGAAAAAUGUAAAAGUCACCCAAAUCUCUUCAUUCAUAGGUAAGCAUUAUUAGCUUAAAGGUUUCAAUCAGAAUUGGAAAACUAUUUCAGACAUAACUCUAGAAACUAUUCCAGAAACUUCCCAGUAAGGGAGCCUAGGGCCCAAGCCUCAAUGGUUAAUAAUUUUAACAUUCCUUCCCAAUCAUUUUCUCAGAUUAGGUAGUGCUGCAGACUUUCUCUAGCCUUUACUUUCUGUCUAAUAUGUAAUUGUGUGAUUAUUUGAACUAUGUAAUAGUUUUUCUUGGAAUUUGCUAUUAUCUUGUCACCUUUGUCCAAAUUGAUAUGUAAGAACUGUGGAGAAAUGGAGGAAGAUUCAAUAUCAAAAAGUUUGAGCUAAAUGUCACAAAAUGCUGAACAGUAAAUGAGGCCAUGUGCCUGUUCGUGUUCUCCCCAGCACCAGGCUAUGCCAUUUUUUUUUUUAAAAUAUUGACCUGUCUAAUAAGGGGGAAAUGUUUCCCAAUCUUAGGUAAGUUUAUUCAUCUGUGAAAUGGAGAUGAUGACAGUAUUUAUUUUCUUGGGCUAUUGAGAAGAUCAGUUGAGUUAAUACAUGAGAAAACAGUAGGCCAGUGCCCAGAACAUGGUACACUCUCAACAAAUGUUAACUGUUCUUAAAUUUUUUGUAUGUAAAACAAAGGGGCAAACUAGGUGAUCUCUGUGGCCCCUCUAGAGCUAUAACUCUAGAUCCAUGACACUGAAAAUGUAUAGCUGUCCUUUUUUGGCCCAUAAUUUAAAAAAAAUGAGUACACAGCAGGUUUAAAAUGGCAAAAAUGAAGGGAGUAAUUGCUCUCAAUUUAAGACGUAUCUGCAGUAAAAUUAAACAGGAGACUGUAAUAUAAAAUAACAUAACCUGUAAGCAUUGGCUAUUACGUAUUCAAAGGCAUUAUUAAGCCACUAGAAUACAGCUGACAUUUAAGUCCACCUGUUUAGCUACACUACAGUCUUACCAAGGAAGAUAGAAAAAUAGCUGGAAACCUUACACAUAAAUUCUAUAGAACAUGAGGAACAGUUAUCAACUGUCGUUCAUCUCAGCCUCUACUGAAAAUCAGCAACUUUUAUGUAAAAGUCAAAUGUAAAUAUUUGAAGCAAUGUUUGAAAAAAAUGGACCAUAACAAGCUUACAGAGUUAGGGCUGUUGACCUGCCAAUAUUUAGCUCUUCCAAGCCAAGUCUUUGUAAGCUCAGCUCAGUAAAUUCAAAUAUUGAGCAUAGUCCUUUGUAUAUGGGAAGUUUCAGUGCUCCAGAGUUAUUCAUUUUACCCUAGGAAGCAAAAUCCCUGAUAUUAAAGGAACUAUCUGACAUAAGUUUGGAAUUAUAGAAUCCUAGAGUUUAAAGAGGCUUAGCAAUCUAACUUUUUCUAUGAUAUUCCUAAUGAGAAUUUGAAUUCUGCUUAAAUCCUACUGAAAGUUAUGGUAGAUGUUCCAAGUGCUAACUGAAGCUUCUGACAUCCUUCCUUUUACAGCUGUCUCAUCUCCUUGAAAUUAUACAUGGCCAUGGACUGCUUUGGCCAAUGAAAUUUAAGUGAAGUGAUGUGAAUCACUUCCAGGCAGAAGCAUUUAAGAGCUGAUUUAUGAUUCAAGCUCUGUUUCCUUGCCACAGUGGCCGCUGGAGACUUGUGUUUAGAUGGCAGUGUCAUAGGAUGGUGGAUCUUCUGUCAUCUUGAGUCUUUGAAGGCUACAAUGCGUAGGAUCUUUUGUGACCUGUGCUGGACAAAUAAAGUAGUAUAAAUAAGAAACAAACUUUUUUUGAUAUACCAUUGAGAUUUGGGGGUUCUUUGUUGCUACAGCACAAACUAGACUAACUUGAUUGAUACUUUAUAAAACUCUGCUUUUAUGUAAGCCCCUUUUAUAGCUGGAUACCUGGAUAGAAACAUUAUUUUAAUGUUACAUUUCAUAUUGAGCUAAGAUAUAACUCCAUAUAAGAUUAAAUUUAAUCUUUUUCUGAUGUCUGGAGCAGAAGAGAAUUGCAACUUUUGUUCUUCCACUUGACAGUCCUUCAAAUAUCAGAACAUAAAUGUUAUGGUCCCCACACCCUCUCUCUGCAAAGAAACCCUGUUUUCCCCUUGACACAUGGUUUCUGGGCUUUUCACCAUCCUGGUUACUCUUUGGAUAACUUUUAUUUUGCCAGUGUUCCAUUAAAGCAUAAUGUCUAGAAUGGAAUUCUUACAAAAUUAGAUACUGCAGGAGAGAUCAUUGCAUGGCUUUUCUGAGGUUUGUGAUGAUGGAGAGUUAUAUUUAUUUAUUAAAAGUACAUUAUUUUAGACCAUAUUUGAAGUUGACAUUUUAAGGUGGCUUCCAGCACUGAAUUUGGUUCAGGAAGGGUUUGUCCAUCCUCAAUCUCAAUUGGAAGAUGAUAACCUUUAGAAAGCAACAACAUCAGGAACAUAGUGUGGACCACAUCUGAGGUCCAGCUAUGGACAAAAUGAGUGUUAUUGAAGAUUUCCAGUGGGACAGUAAUAAGGAUAUAUUGUGUUACAGAAAAAUAAUUAUGGAAAAAAUUUAAAAGAAUAAUCACUAGGUGAAGCAUACUUGGGAAGGGGUGAGAGAGAAAGGCAAAGAGAACAAUCAAUUAACCAAUGAAUCAACACAAUUUAUUAAUUGCCUACUAAAUGUAAGACACUGAGCUACAUGGGUUGGCCCACUGGUGAACAAAACUUAUAUAUGAAAAUAGGAAGGAGUAGGUGGAUAGUAAAAAUGGUCAACAGAUAUGACAUUCUAAUUAGUACUGUAGUAUGUGUAAGUGAACAAACUGAAAGGACAGGAGGCUGAUGUCUGAGGAUAGGAUUUUUAAAGUAGGAAUUUGAAAAGGAACAGUUUCUAGUGAUGACAAAGUCAAUGAAAGUACAGAAAACCCAUCUCAAGUGACUUAAAGACAAACAGAAAAGUCCACAAGUAAAGUUGUUUCAGGAACUAUUCAAUCAGGUCUUGGUUCUACAUUUUCUUUUUUCCUGUUUCUUUGGUUCUUCUUUCCUUUAUAUGUUAGUUUUUUCUUUAGGCUGAUUUUCCUCCUGGUUGCAAGACAGGUAUCAGCAGCAAUGGUGAAUCCAUUCUUCCUAGUUUGCCUCUCGUGGAAGAAAAAGUGUCCAUUUCCUGCAACCACUGAACAAAAGUUUUGAGCUUCACUCUGAUAAGAUUAUGCCUAAGGCCAUCAAUGUGGCCAGGUAAAUGCAUACACUAAUUCUAGAGGUAGAACUAAAGUCAGUUUAUCAAAAAGUUGACUUUAGGGCAUAAGUAGGGGGAUGGGUCACUGUUGAAAAAAAUUGAAGUAUAGUUAACAAGGGCACAUGAUAGAAUGAAUGCUGUGUUGGUAACUCACAGAUGUCCACAAUAAGUUGUACAGAAAAAUGGGACCAGAUUCAGAGAGGUAUAGAUUUUUACAAACACAUUGGGGUGGGAAUGAUUGAGAAGGUACUAUGGGGAAUGAAGAAGACACUGAUAUGAACUCCUUACCCUUAAAUAUAUGAGGAUGAAAAGAAUGAGCAACCUUGAUACAAGGGGCACAGGGAAAGCAGUUCAGGGGAGAACACAUUUUUAGCUAAGGGAAAAUAAGUGGAGAUACAGUCAUGGACAGUGGGUUUUGAGAGGCCCUGGGCAAGCCUUGUGGUUUAGAAAUGGCAGCAGAGAAGUGGUGAUAUCAUUAGUUCAUAUAUGGAAUGUUGCAGGAGGAGAAGGCCUUGCUAGAUCUUUCAACAUUGUCACCUGCAGAUGGAGGAUUUCCAGACAUUUGAUCUGCAACUCAGAAAAGAGGGCUGUUUAGGAGGACAUUUGUAUUUUGGAAGAAAGUGAGAAAGGGGUUGGAGCAGUUUAGCAGGAGGGAGAAAAUGGGAGAGAACUUUCCUUUAUGAAGUCUUCUCUGGUUUUCUUCAGUUCGAUGUUCUCUAUUACAUAGGUAGCUAUUUUCCAACUGAUAAAAAAUAUAGUUAAUGCUAACUAAAAGCAGGAGUGCAUUAUUUUGAAAUCUUUGAGUGAAGAGCCAAUUUCUGAGACUCCAAAUUCCAAUAAACAGCACUUUGUUAGCAUUCAUAACCAUUUAUGUAUUUAUCACUCACAUACUUGCAUACAAGUAGAACUAGUUUCUCCUCAAGUGGGACAUGACAGGUACGUGUUGCUUUUGAUGCUCUGGCCACAAGAACACCUGUUCUUGCUUAGCAUCUCUUUGUACUUUGGGGAUUUGUAGCUGUUUCUUUCAAUUCAGCUGAGAAGUAACAUGAGGCUUAGAUCCACAAAUCCACCUCCUGGGAGCUGGACGCCCAUCUCCAUUUGGCUCUGUAGGGUCAAGAUGUCAUUGAUGGUGCAAGUGCCUGUGCCUGCGCUGCCCUCUCACAGCACACCUCCUCCUUUUAGCCAUCUUCACAAAUCACUAGUUAGGCACCACUCUGCUGCAGGCUGGGGGAGCUUCCCUUCCUGAUUCUCCUUGCCCAUGCAGUGCUUAUUGCUUUCUUUGGCUUGGGCUUCCCUCCAUGCUCUUGUUCACAUUAUUGAUACAUGUUAUCUCCUCAAGCUUUAAGUAGUUUCCCACAUUGCAUCCUCUCACAUUCUUAUUCUUAUGUUAGAUUUAUUUUAAUUAUUAUAUUUGAAUAUAUGAUUCAAUAAUAUUCCACAUUUCUGCCUAAUAUUUGUUUUUUUUUCUUUUAGUAUUUAUCAGUUUCUGCCUUAUGUGGUUGAUUGUAUGUCUGUCCUAUCUGAGUUCAUGCAUCUAACAGUCAUACUACUGUAACCAUCAUAUCUUCACAAAAAAAAAAAGUGUUCUGCUUUCUAUACUUGAGUACAAGAUCAUUUCCUCGGCCCUGUAUUCUCUGCAGUACCAGCACAGUGCCUUGGGUAUCAUGGUCACUCAAAUAUUUGAUCAAGUAAGUUUAUAGAUAAAUGCCUAUCUAAUAUAUUAAAUCAGAAGAUGGGGAUAAUGAAGUAUAGCUUGCUUUUAAAUAGAAUUUUUUAAUGUUAUUAUUAAGCCAACUAUUUUAUGUCUCAUUGCUUUUAGGAGCAAGGUAACAUAUUUCAUACUUUGGCAUUGGUUUCAGUAGCAGGGGGAACAAACUUACAGCUUGCUAUGAGUUGUUCUGUGGUCAGAACAAAAGUUGCUAAUGAUCAAGCACUUAUCUAGUAAGGCUAGUUUUUUUUCUCAAGAUAUUUCUCAAUACUGUAUUAUUGACAACUACUCCAAGUAAUUAGAAUAGGCAUAUAAUAUUGAACAUUUCAAUGGUUUACUACACUUAGGGAGAAUAUUAUAGAGAAGAUGUGAGUCCUGACUUACGAUUUUAAAAGCUCUUCUCUAUUCAAGGGGCAGAGUUCUUGUGGAAGGAAUGAGUCCAGUGUGGUCUGUGGUGUGCAUGAGAAAAUAAGCAGCAAAGGUCAUGGAGUAAGAAGUUCGAAGCCAUUAUUAAAGAAUGGCCGUGGGUAAAAUGAUUGGAUUCUGCCAUGGAACAUGGUAAGCUAGUGGGCCAGUAUUGUGUAGUAAUUUUAAGUGCAGAAUGCUUGAGUUUUAAUUCUGGGAUCCCCCUUCCUAGCUGUGUGACUUUGGGCAAGCUGUUUAUCUCUUUGUGCUACAAAUUGUUUAUCUGUAAAAUAGGAGUUUUAAAAGUUAUUAACUUGCUGGAUUUACAUGAUAAUUAAUUGAGGUAAUAUACGGAAAGUUCUUAGAACAGUGCUAAGUGUUAGUUACAUGAUUCCUGUUUAAAUAAUUCAUUACUAUUAAAAGGGAAGAGAAACUACCUUCAAAAAUAGUACUGUCUAGCCUUAAUAUAAUUAAUCUGUCUGACCCUAGCUACCACUAUAACCAAGGUAAAUUUUUUGCAAGUCAUAAGAAAACUAAUGAUUAUCUGAUACUCCAAAAAUUUGUUUCCUAAAAAAUCAAAGAUUUUGUCUUCAAAUUGGAGCUGUUUAACCAUCCGUUAAUGGAGACAACCACAUGGAAUUUAAAAAAUGUGAUAGGUAGAGCAAAUUAUCAUUGAGUUCUUAGUAGAACAUUUUCUCCACAUUUCUCUGUUGUAUACACCAUCAGGAGGAAUAAACAAUUUCACAAAGUUGCCAAAAUGUUAGCAUUUUUACUGAAAACGCCUAGUCAUAGUUUUGUUUUCUGCAAGUUAUUUUAAAAAUUGGUGACAUUAUUCAUAAGCAAAAAGAAUCAUUUUAUGUAGUAUGUGGCAUUCUAUACCUGAAACAAAAACAACAACAACAGUGGAACAAAUCUGCAAUGUAAAAAAUAGGUAAAAAUAAAUAUCUUAUUAGAAACAAAAUAGGCAGUGCUUUUAAGGCACAUGUUCAAAUAAUAAGCAAAAAAUAAAAAUGUUAUUUGAUUAAAGAGAUGUUUAGCUCUCAGGAAGGCAGUAGUGAUUCUAAAUCAAUGGGAUAAAUAUCAGCAAUAACAAAGGUGAUUAAUAAACUACUUUUUGUUAAAUAUAUAAUUGUUUAUUGGAGAAACUGGAAUUCUUAAUUUUAGCAUUAUUAAUUUCUUCGUGGAAAAUAGAGCCUCAUUUUAUCUCAACAUUUAAAUAGAGUCAUAUUUUUAAAGAUAUUUAUUGUUAUUAUUUUUUAUUUCAAUAGUUUUUGGGGAACAGGUGGUGUUUGCUUACAUGGAUAAGUUCUUUAGUGGUGAUUUCUGAGAUUUUGAUGUACCCAUGACCCUAGCAGAGUACACUGUACCCAAUAUGUAGUCUUUUAUCUCUCACUUGGCUUCCUUUCCACCCUUCCCCCCAAGUCCCCA
Molecule: long non-coding RNA, 14163 nt
Filed under: Homo sapiens (human)
Lineage: Eukaryota; Metazoa; Chordata; Mammalia; Primates; Hominidae
Description: HSALNT0376511
Source: RNAcentral